AGUCGAUGGGAAACGGGUUAAUAUUCCCGUACUUGGUGUUACUGCGAAGGGGGGACGGAGAAGGCUAUGUUGGCCGGGCGACGGUUGUCCCGGUUUAAGCGUGUAGGUGUGUGUUCCAGGUAAAUCCGGUUCACUUUAACACUGAGGCGUGACGACGAGGCACUACGGUGCUGAAGCAACAAAUGCCCUGCUUCCAGGAAAAGCCUCUAAGCAUCAGGUAACAUCAAAUCGUACCCCAAACCGACACAGGUGGUCAGGUAGAGAAUACCAAGGCGCUUGAGAGAACUCGGGUGAAGGAACUAGGCAAAAUGGUGCCGUAACUUCGGGAGAAGGCACGCUGACACGUAGGUGAAGUGAUUUACUCAUGGAGCUGAAGUCAGUCGAAGAUACCAGCUGGCUGCAACUGUUUAUUAAAAACACAGCACUGUGCAAACACGAAAGUGGACGUAUACGGUGUGACGCCUGCCCGGUGCCGGAAGGUUAAUUGAUGGGGUCAGCGCAAGCGAAGCUCCUGAUCGAAGCCCCGGUAAACGGCGGCCGUAACUAUAACGGUCCUAAGGUAGCGAAAUUCCUUGUCGGGUAAGUUCCGACCUGCACGAAUGGCGUAAUGAUGGCCAGGCUGUCUCCACCCGAGACUCAGUGAAAUUGAACUCGCUGUGAAGAUGCAGUGUACCCGCGGCAAGACGGAAAGACCCCGUGAACCUUUACUAUAGCUUGACACUGAACAUUGAGCCUUGAUGUGUAGGAUAGGUGGGAGGCUUUGAAGUGUGGACGCCAGUCUGCAUGGAGCCGACCUUGAAAUACCACCCUUUAAUGUUUGAUGUUCUAACGUGGACCCGUUACCCGGGUUGCGGACAGUGUCUGGUGGGUAGUUUGACUGGGGCGGUCUCCUCCUAAAGAGUAACGGAGGAGCACGAAGGUUGGCUAAUCCUGGUCGGACAUCAGGAGGUUAGUGCAAUGGCAUAAGCCAGCUUGACUGCGAGCGUGACGGCGCGAGCAGGUGCGAAAGCAGGUCAUAGUGAUCCGGUGGUUCUGAAUGGAAGGGCCAUCGCUCAACGGAUAAAAGGUACUCCGGGGAUAACAGGCUGAUACCGCCCAAGAGUUCAUAUCGACGGCGGUGUUUGGCACCUCGAUGUCGGCUCAUCACAUCCUGGGGCUGAAGUAGGUCCCAAGGGUAUGGCUGUUCGCCAUUUAAAGUGGUACGCGAGCUGGGUUUAGAACGUCGUGAGACAGUUCGGUCCCUAUCUGCCGUGGGCGCUGGAGAACUGAGGGGGGCUGCUCCUAGUACGAGAGGACCGGAGUGGACGCAUCACUGGUGUUCGGGUUGUCAUGCCAAUGGCACUGCCCGGUAGCUAAAUGCGGAAGAGAUAAGUGCUGAAAGCAUCUAAGCACGAAACUUGCCCCGA
This 1406-nucleotide ribosomal RNA is filed under the name Salmonella enterica subsp. enterica serovar Enteritidis. Its description in RNAcentral is "partial 23S ribosomal RNA". It matches the Rfam family "Bacterial large subunit ribosomal RNA", at positions 1413 to 2802 of the family's 2925-position model. The record is from RNAcentral. Lineage: Bacteria; Pseudomonadati; Pseudomonadota; Gammaproteobacteria; Enterobacterales; Enterobacteriaceae.